UCCGGGCUUGGUGGUACAUGCCUAUAGUCCCAGCUACUCCAGAGGCUGAGGAGAGAGGAUUCCUUGAGCGUGGGAGUUCUAGGCUGAUCAGGUGUCCAAACUAAAUUCAUCAUCAAUAUGGUGACCUCCUGGGAGUCGGGGGCCACCAGGUUGCCUAAGGUGGGGUGUACCAGCCCAGGUCAGAAGUGGAGCAGGUGAAAACUGUGAUCAGUAGUCAUCUUGCACCUGUGAAUAGCCACUGCACUCAAGCCUAGGCAAGAUGGUGAGAUCCUGUUUUUU
This is an unclassified non-coding RNA of Callithrix jacchus (white-tufted-ear marmoset), 279 nucleotides long. It matches the Rfam family "Metazoan signal recognition particle RNA". From Rfam's summary of the family: The signal recognition particle (SRP) is a universally conserved ribonucleoprotein. It is involved in the co-translational targeting of proteins to membranes. Lineage: Eukaryota; Metazoa; Chordata; Mammalia; Primates; Cebidae. The record is from Ensembl.